GGGAUUAUGGCUCAGUGGUAGAGCGCUUGCCCACAUGUGCAAGGGGGCCUGGGUUCGAUCCUCAGCACCA
Ictidomys tridecemlineatus (thirteen-lined ground squirrel) is the source of this 70-nucleotide non-coding RNA. The record is from Rfam. NCBI's taxonomy places the organism in Eukaryota, Metazoa, Chordata, Mammalia, Rodentia, Sciuridae.